RNA transcript from Metopolophium dirhodum (rose-grain aphid), 3702 nucleotides. It is a transcript of the gene named NGFI-A-binding protein homolog, with no coding region annotated. The record is from RefSeq and is a predicted model, not a curated record. NCBI's taxonomy places the organism in Eukaryota, Metazoa, Arthropoda, Insecta, Hemiptera, Aphididae. The transcript has 12 exons.
CUCGAGUAUCCCGGAGUCGCCAUGCGGCAAUCGUCACGGGCCCGCUAACCGUCGGACGCUUACGCCGCCGAUCGACACUAUUUUAUAUUUUACUCGACGAUAAAAAUAUACCAUUUAUUAUAUUAUUAUUAAAUUUCAAAGCUCGUCACGUAAGCUCUACUACACUCCUUAUCGAAUUAUUUACAACUUUUUGUACUGUUAUAAUAUUAUUGUAUCGUAUGAGAUUGUGUUAAAUGUAAUGGUUUUUUGUUAAUUUGUUUUUUAUUUUUUUUUUUGCGACUUUUUCUUUCCUCUCUCAUAUUUUUUGUGUUUUCUAUUACUCAACACAAUGUCGACGUGAAUAUCGCGUUCUCACGGACUACACGAAACGCCGUUUAUUUACCGGCCGUUGUAGUUUUUAUGGAAGCCAACGAAAGCGCCGAAGUUCGGUCUACCGGCACGCCGCCGACCAACGGCGGUAACGGCGGGGGCAACUGUUGCGGCACGUCCCCUGCAGUCGGCGGCGGCGCUCCGGCGGAACAUACUUCCGGCACGAAGAUCUUGAGCAAGAAUUCGAACGGCACAAUGAUUAUGACAUCCAGUCCAAGUAACGAAGCUGAAUUACAAUUGUACAGGGUAAUGCAGAGAGCUAGUCUUUUAGCGUAUUACGACACACUACUCGAAAUGGGAGGUGAUGACUUGCAACAGCUUUGUGACGCCGGCGAAGAGGAAUUUCUUGAGAUAAUGGCACUGGUCGGUAUGGCGUCAAAACCACUACACGUCAGACGGUUGCAGAAAGCUUUGCACGAAUGGGUCAGCAACCCAACCAUGUUCCAAGCGCCGCUGACGUCCCCUGUCCCAGGUGGUGGUUCCAGUGCUAUCGUCCUGCCACCGAACCCGGUGCGGCCGUUUCUCAGCGUCUGCCCGAACCCGCUGAUUCAGACAUCCAUACACCACGGUUACUAUACACCACUAGGAUACGGUUACCAGCCGCCCACGUCACCAUCGCCCGUGCCCAGUUCGACCAACCAACUACCACAGGUUGCGCAAACGAGCGAAGCGACAACUUCGGCUGGACAACACUAUGGUGAUAGUAACAGUCCUGGCCAAAGUCCAGGAUCGCCGUUGCAGCUGUCCCCGUCACUGGAUGAAUCACAAAUCGCCCGGUUGGCUACGUCAGCUAAGCAACUAGUGCAAAGGCUACCGCAGUACCAACCCAAGGCACAAACAGCGAAACGGAAGGCGAACAAAGAACUCGAGUGCGUCAUGAACAUGCCGGAAGAAGAUCCUAGGCGCAUAGAAUCCAUUAGGAAGUAUUCGGCUAUUUACGGGCGGUUCGAUUGCAAAAGGAAACCAGAAAAACCUUUGACAUUGCACGAGGUGUCCGUAAACGAGGCUGCCGCACAGAUAUGCAAAUUGGUGCCUGCCCUGUUGACUAGACGAGACGAACUGUUCUCUUUAGCCCGACAAGUGGUCCGUGACUCGGGAUACCAUUACUCCAAAGGACAUUCCAAGUCAAGCAUGCUGCAGAGUUUCGGAGGAUUGACUUCGAACGGCGACUGUAGUUACGGGUCGAAGAGGCCCCGUCUGGACGAUCACGUCGAACUACUCAAAAUUCGGCGACAGGAACGAUUAGAUCAGAUCGCUGACGAACUAAAGGCAGUCAACGAUCGCCGAGAGGAGCUGGACCAGAGCACCAAAGAUGACCAGGCGGUCCUGCACCAGUUGGAAACCCUGAAGAAUCGCCAAGCGCAGCUGUUGGUGGAACAGAACGACCUGAGGCAAAACAAAUCGAUGCGAAGGGAGAGGAGCGGCGGAAGGACGUCGUCGUCGGCCGGUUUCGACACGGACGACACGGACUCUCAAAUGUCGUACAGCAAUACUAGUUCUCCAUUACAGGACAUUAGCGACUCGAGGGAUUCGAUGACUCGUUGCAGCGUCGACUACCACCACGACGGAAAACCAUCACAGAAUACCGGUAAUCAGGUAAAACGUGUUCACGGCGGUGAUGGCGAGUGCGGUAAAGGUAGCGGCACCGAUCCGCUUUGAGGUUUUUCGUCCCCCAAAACUAACACAAAAUAAUAGUUAUUCUGUCAGGAGACAAUAUUAAUAUGGUGCAUUCGUCUUGAAAAUUACGCACAUUGGUACAUUGCACAUACGUGCAUAUUUGGAAUUCGGAUCCAUCAUAAUAAUAUCAUUUUUCAUAUUUUUACUAAUACAGUGUGAAUAACGCCAAAUAACGCAUGGUCUAUAAAUGGUUGGGAAUUUCGCGGCAUGUGAACAUUUUUAGUUUAAUUACCUUCAAUAUUCGCUGAAAAAAAAAUAAUAUAUUUGAUACAAUUGACAAAAACGAAAACAUUAAUAUUAUAUAAAAAAAAAAACAGUCAUUAAUUUAAAAAAAAAAUAAUCAUUGCUUUAAAAUAUUUGAAAACUAUAUAGUUACAGGUGAUAUCACCUAUAAUUAUUACUGAAAUAUAUUUAUUUUGAAUAUCUUCAAACAAUAACAUGUUUCAAUAUCAAUAUUGUUGAACAUAUAUUUUUUUUUUAUAUUUUAUUUUUAUAAAAUAAUUAAUAUUUUAUAUUUUUGUUUCUAAAAAUUUGGUUUACUUGGAAUUACUAUUUAUUUUGUACAGAAAUAUUUUAACAUUUUAUUUUUUAUCAUAUUCUUAUUGUUCCUAAAAGAACAGAUUGUAUUACCGUAUAAAAAAUAAAAAUAAAAUAAAAAUAUUUUAACAAAAGAAAAUACGAUUCUCAAUAAAAACCUAACAAAUGAAAAUAAAUAUUCUCAGAAAAAUCUAACAAAUUAAAUUUAUUAUAAUAAAAUGUUUGACGUUAAUUUCGUAUUUAAUAUUAAAACAAAAUAUAACUAGGUACCUACUGUUAUAUUAGACUUUAGUAACAUCAAGAAACGAUGAUUUGCAGUAGGUACAGUGUUUCAAAGGAAUAGUGUUUCGAAAAUAAAAGUAUAACCUAUACGCGUUCAGAUUUAUUAAAUUGUGUUCUAAUUUAAAUUUAUUUACCUAUUUAUUUAUUUGAUGCCUAUUUCUUUUUAAAGUUAUAAGUCGUUCAUAUCCCAAGUGCUUUAAUUUUUAAAAUAUUGAAAAUCCAUAAUAAAAAAUAAUUAUUAUAUCAAGUAUGGAGGUACUUACAUACUUUAAAAUUAAAACUGAUCCUCGUGAGCCAUACAGUACCUACUUAAGUACGACGUUUUGAAUGAAAAAUCCGAACUUUGAAAUGGUAAUUCGUUUCGAUUCUAAAUAGAGUAGCAUAAAACACUAUACCAAAUAUGAAAAAUGCAUACUACUGUUGUAUAUUUUGAACGUAGCUAGAGUCGUUUGUUUUAAAUUUUUUUUUUUAAUAUUUAUUCUGUAUAUUAUGUAAAUAUCCCAUUAGAUGUGCAAAUUGUGUUAUUAUUUAACAGGCAUGUAUGUGUGUAUAUAUUAUAUAAUAUUAUGUAGGUACAUUAAUGUAAUUUACUAUUAAUUUAUGAUUCAUACUUGUGCGUCGUUAUUAACCAAAACCUUUUCAGUUUAUGUUUGUUUUAGCUUGUUUCGCUUUUGUUUUGUUUGUGUUUUUUCAAACCCCAGAGUAACUUGUCUCGCGGCGAUACAGACGACACGGACGAAGACGACGGAGAACCUCAGCGCCUUCGCCGCAGUCACAGUCCGUCCGCCCACAUAAACGGCAACAGACAUCUGGUUGAUCGGUUUUUCAACGACAAAG